This 541-nucleotide ribosomal RNA is filed under the name uncultured bacterium. RNAcentral's name for it is "bacterial SSU rRNA". It matches the Rfam family "Bacterial small subunit ribosomal RNA", at positions 135 to 671 of the family's 1533-position model. The record is from RNAcentral.
AGUGGGGGAUAACGUAGCGAAAGUUACGCUAAUACCGCAUAUUCUGUGAGCAGGAAAGCAGGGGAUCGCAAGACCUUGCGCUUUCGGAGCGGCCGAUGUCGGAUUAGCUAGUUGGUGGGGUAAAGGCCUACCAAGGCGACGAUCCGUAGCGGGUCUGAGAGGAUGAUCCGCCACACUGGGACUGAGACACGGCCCAGACUCCUACGGGAGGCAGCAGUGGGGAAUUUUGGACAAUGGGCGCAAGCCUGAUCCAGCCAUGCCGCGUGAGUGAAGAAGGCCUUCGGGUUGUAAAGCUCUUUCGGCCGGGACGAAAUCGGCGAGGCUAAUAUCCUCGCUGGAUGACGGUACCGGAAUAAGAAGCACCGGCUAACUACGUGCCAGCAGCCGCGGUAAUACGUAGGGUGCGAGCGUUAAUCGGAAUUACUGGGCGUAAAGCGUGCGCAGGCGGUUAUGAAAGACAGGCGUGAAAUCCCCGGGCUUAACCUGGGAACGGCGCUUGUGACUCCAUGACUCGAGUACGGCAGAGGGGGGUGGAAUUCCA